This 493-nucleotide ribosomal RNA is filed under the name uncultured bacterium. RNAcentral describes it as "bacterial SSU rRNA". It matches the Rfam family "Bacterial small subunit ribosomal RNA", at positions 30 to 507 of the family's 1533-position model. The record is from RNAcentral.
AUUGAACGCUGGCGGCAUGCCUUGCACAUGCAAGUCGAACGGCAGCACGGGAGACAAUCCGUGGUGGCGAGUGGCGAACGGGUGAGUAAUAUAUCGGAACGUGCCGGUCGUGGGGGAUAACCGUAGCGAAAGACUACCGCUAAUACCGCAUACGAUCUACGGGAGUGAAAGCGGGGGAUCGCAAGACCUCGGCGCGGAUUGGAGCGGCCGAUAUCAGAUUAGGUAGUUGGUGAGGUAAAGGCUCACCAAGCCGACGAUCUGUAGCUGGUCUGAGAGGACGACCAGCCACACUGGGACUGAGACACGGCCCAGACUCCUACGGGAGGCAGCAGUGGGGAAUUUUGGACAAUGGGCGCAACGCCUGAUCCAGCAAUGCCGCGUACAGGAUGAAGGCCUUCGGGUUGUAAACUGCUUUUGUACGGAACGAAACGGUGAGCUCUAAUACAGUUUGCUAAUGACGGUACCGUAAGAAUAAGCACCGGCUAACUACGUG